Fundulus heteroclitus (mummichog) is the source of this 1116-nucleotide long non-coding RNA. RefSeq lists it as uncharacterized. The record is from RefSeq and is a predicted model, not a curated record. The transcript is spliced from 5 exons. Lineage: Eukaryota; Metazoa; Chordata; Actinopteri; Cyprinodontiformes; Fundulidae.
UGAAACUUCUGAAAGUCCUCUGUUGUUCCUGCUUUUUGUCGUUACUCACGCCAUCAGAUUUCUUUAAAGUGUUGCUGCAAACAAGACGUGAAUAAAGCAACAUCUCCAGGUUGUUCCCCCUUCCAGUUAUAGAGUUAAAUAUGGAGCUGAAGAGGGAAUGGCUGUCUCAGGUGACAAAAGAAAUUAAAAACAGCCCCCUGGCAACCAAUUUUUUAUUUGGAAUAGUCCAGUUGAUCGCUGAGGGACUGGUGGCAAUGGAGUUUGCUUGCCCUUGUGACUCUAGAUACAACAGAAUGUACACUUCAGUAUUUUUCAUCAUUCCACCAAUUAUAGUAUUUUUACUAGCCGUGGGAAUUAGACCAUUCUGUAAACCAUGUAAAUCAAUCUUUGAUUGCCUAAAUAUCACCAUAGUUCCAACAGCGUUAUGGCUGGUAAUAUUGUUGAUUGAUGGCCGUUAUUAUGCCUGUUUAUGGACCAGUUGGACAGGAAAGUAUGAAAUAAUUGAGAAAGCUGCCCCCCAGCAUUGGUGUAAACCAGCCAACUCAUCUCAGGAAUUACUGGCCAAAACCCAGCUAAUGUAUGCUACAUCACAGUUCUAUGGAUUCUUCACAGCACUUGGGGUGACCAUGUUUUAUUUGGUAUGCAUGUAUGGCUCCAGAUAUUCCAGCCUCAACUGCAGCCAAAAUAAUGAAAAUCCAGAAUCUCCAGGAAAUGAAGAGAAUGAGCGUGUGGAACUAAACCAACAACUUUGAAAGAAAUAAACUAUUAUUCUGAUUGCCAACCUGUGUACCUGACCUAGCCUGUUCCUGGACUAUCUGAGCUUGCCUGAUUCCAGUCUGUUUAACCUUGCCUGCCAUUGUACCGAACCGGACCUGCUACCUGACCACCGAGUCUGCCUGACCUUGUCUAGCCUGUAAGCCUGCCCGUGUAUCAAACUUGGAUAUGUCUCCCGACUCUGCGCUCGGAUUCUGUUCUGGAUUUUUGAUUACCUGGUUUUGACUUAGGACUGUUUAUCGACCAUGAGCUCUGUGUUGCCCUGUUCAUAUUACUGCCAGUCUGUAUUCCCGGUUUCAACACCCACAACCUCUUCUUUAAUAAACUGUCUUUAAUCUUAAA